Transfer RNA from Stereum hirsutum FP-91666 SS1, 103 nucleotides. It matches the Rfam family "tRNA". Rfam says of the family: Transfer RNA (tRNA) molecules are approximately 80 nucleotides in length. Their secondary structure includes four short double-helical elements and three loops (D, anti-codon, and T loops). Further hydrogen bonds mediate the characteristic L-shaped molecular structure. tRNAs have two regions of fundamental functional importance: the anti-codon, which is responsible for specific mRNA codon recognition, and the 3' end, to which the tRNAs corresponding amino acid is attached (by aminoacyl-tRNA synthetases). tRNAs cope with the degeneracy of the genetic code in two manners: having more than one tRNA (with a specific anti-codon) for a particular amino acid; and 'wobble' base-pairing, i.e. permitting non-standard base-pairing at the 3rd anti-codon position. NCBI's taxonomy places the organism in Eukaryota, Fungi, Basidiomycota, Agaricomycetes, Russulales, Stereaceae. The record is from Rfam.
GGCCCAAUGGUCUAGUGGUAAGAUACUUGCUUUGGGUGUACACCGGGUUCGAACCGGAUAAUUUAAAUGCAAGGGAUCCCCAGUUCGAACCUGGGUUGGGCCC